GUGCUUGAUUCAGCGGCACAUGUACUAAAAUUAGAAUGAUGCAGAGAAGAUUAGCACAGCCCCUGUGCAAGGAGAACAUGCAAAUCCAGGAAGCAUUCCUUAGUUUU
Choloepus didactylus (southern two-toed sloth) is the source of this 107-nucleotide small nuclear RNA. Lineage: Eukaryota; Metazoa; Chordata; Mammalia; Pilosa; Megalonychidae. The record is from RefSeq and is a predicted model, not a curated record.